This 23-nucleotide non-coding RNA is filed under the name Arabidopsis thaliana (thale cress). Lineage: Eukaryota; Viridiplantae; Streptophyta; Magnoliopsida; Brassicales; Brassicaceae. The record is from RNAcentral.
GGAUAUGGUUGACGAUUGUUGUU